This 508-nucleotide ribosomal RNA is filed under the name uncultured bacterium. Its description in RNAcentral is "partial 16S ribosomal RNA". It matches the Rfam family "Bacterial small subunit ribosomal RNA", at positions 28 to 523 of the family's 1533-position model. The record is from RNAcentral.
GAUGAGCGCUAGCUACAGGCUUAACACAUGCAAGCCGAGGGGAAACGAUAUUGGAAGCUUGCUUCCGAUAGGCGUCGACCGGCGCACGGGUGAGUAACGCGUAUCCAACCUGCCCAUCACUUGGGGAUAACCUUGCGAAAGUACGACUAAUACUCAAUGAUAUCGCUAGAAGAAAUCUGAAAGGGAUUAAAGAUUUAUCGGUGAUGGAUGGGGAUGCGUCUGAUUAGCUUGUUGGCGGGGUAACGGCCCACCAAGGCGACGAUCAGUAGGGGUUCUGAGAGGAAGGUCCCCCACAUUGGAACGGAGACACGGUCCAAACUCCUACGGGAGGCAGCAGUGAGGAAUAUUGGUCAAUGGGCGAGAGCCUGAACCAGCCAAGUAGCGUGCAGGAUGACGGCCCUAUGGGUUGUAAUCUGCUUUUAUAAGGGAAUAAAGUGGGAGUCGUGACUCCUUUUGCAUGUACCUUAUGAAUAAGGACCGGCUAAUUCCGUGCCAGCAGCCGCAGUAA